UGAGAUGGCAGUUGCAAAUCAAAUUACGAGCCAGCUAUGAACGCCCGAGUAGCGAUUAUUAAAUGAGCAAAGGUCUAAGGAAUAUGAAGAAACUUCUAUGGAUUACUACGAUUUGAGAGCUGACAAUGGUGUAAGUGGACAAAAAAUACCAGUGUAAUUCACAAUUUGACAAGUGGUGAAGCCAAGUCCGGGUCAAAGCAAUCGAAAACAGAAAAUGUUCAAAUUUGGUUACAACUAUAGAUCUGGAAAAUAUUUGAAAAAGAAAAGAAAAACCUAGGUAUGGUGGAGCUGCUAGGUGAAGAAACAGUAGUGGAGUCCACUUGGUGCAACAAGAGGGAUCUAAAACGUGAUCAAUUUAGUAGCGGAGGCAGUCAGAUAUCCCACAAGCAAUAGGUCAUGGAUAGGAUCGAUCUACAGAAACAUUUUUUGAAGAGCUUAGAAAAACUAGUGAUGAACUGCAAUGGUAAAGUGGCACGGAUAUUAAGUGUGACACUUAUCUGGAAAGAAGGAUUUGAGGAUGUCAAAGGUCGCGAGCGCGGCCGCGGCGUUUCCGAUGAGUGCCGGCAACGGCGCAGGCGUUGGUGUUGUUGCUGACUCGAACGACAGCGAGCUCGAAGCGGCGCUGCUCGUUAGGGGCGGCAAGAAGAAGAGCAAGGAACAGAGAAGGUAGAAGAAUGAGCUCAGGGGUCUGCCGCAUUAUUUAUAAAGGAAGGGGAGCCCGAAACGGUAGAGGCAAAAUCCUAGGAGGCGCAAUAAAUUUUGGCUAAAAAGGUUCCUCGAACAAGACAAAAUAUAUUUAAAGAUCCGUAUGACAUCAUGCGUGGAAAUCGGAAGACCGGUAUGAUGAUGUCAUAACAUGGGAUGGUAGAAAAUAAGCCAAGUACGAAGUCGCGCAAGCCAGCAAAUGGAUUUACCCGGCUGUAAGGCUCAUGAAGGAAGGAUGAAAGAUGCCAGACCCAGCUUAAUCUUUUACAGUUAGUUUUUGUCUUAUUUUCAGGAUGGAACUUAACCUGGAUAAAUCCAAGUUAAACUGGGGGCUAAUGUUGGGGGUAUUCCCCACGAUCAAGACCCGGCAGGAAUCUUGACCCAGGCAGAAGCAUAGAAGCUCUAUGGGUCAGUACUUUUCCCGGAUCAUAGAGGAAACAUAAGGGCCUGAAGGUCCAGAAGGACGUUUUCCAAGGGCUGGCUCAUGAACAAGCUGGCAUUGAUCCGGCUUAACAAGACGGUGCAAGAAGUGGCUGAUUUCCUAACAUGGGAGGCAAGAUAGAUAGAGUUAGAGUAGGAUACGGGUUGACAGUACGACCUGGAAUCUCAUGUAAACCCGGGGACUUGUCCUGUUAUAUAAAGCGGAGCCCCCAAAUCGAAAACACCAAGUUGUAAUCUCUCGAAAGCUAGGUUAGCGAAUCCGCAUCCUUGUAAUCGAGAUCAUCGUCAAUAUCAAUCAAGCAGGAAGUAGGUCUUUACCUCCACCGUGAGGGGCCGAACCUAGGUAAACUCGUGUCCUUUAUUCACAAUCAACCCCGUUCAAGAAACCACCUAGUUGCGCCUCCAGACUUAGUCCUUUCAUGAGGACAUCCCUCGUGACAAAACCACGACACCUCCUCCGCCGCCGCUACAUAUAUUUGGUCCAGCCCAUAGCUCUUUUCGGUUUUGGGGAAAAUUUCUCGAACCUUCCCAAGCCGGUCUUUUUUGUGAGUGACUUUCUUUCGAGUUUUUUUUUCAUUUUGGUUCUUUUUUUUUCUUUUCAUUUUGUUUCCCUCAUGUUGUUUUUUUCUUUAACUUUUACUUUUUCAUCUUUUCUGUUUCAUUUUCUGAAAUUGUGAACAUUGUUUUGAAAUCAUGAACAUUUUUGAAAGUUACAAACAUUUUUUGAAAUCGUGAACAUUUUUAGGAUUUACAAAUAUAUUUUAAUAUCUCGAAUAUUUUUUGAAUCAUGUCAACAUUUUUCUUGACAGACAAACUUUUUUGGAAAUUGGGGGAAUAAUUCUUGAAGUCGUGAACAAUUUUUUGUUUUGAUGAACAUGUUUUAAAUGCAUGAUUUUUUCCGAAUACACAAACAUUUUUGAAUCAGUGAACAUUUUUGAAUUAACGAACAUUUUUUGAAUCAAUGUACUUUUUUUGUAAUUCACAGAUAUUUUUUGAAUAUUGUGAACAAUUUUAAUAAAUUCAUAAACAGUUUUUGAAUUUGUGACCAUUUGUUCACUCAAACGUGCCUGUCAAAAUCAUGAACAUUUUUUUUUACUUCCCGAACAUUUUGUUUUGAAAAAUCAUGAACUUUUUUUAAAUAUGUGAACUUUUUUUUGAAUGGCGAUUUUUUAGAUCCAUGAACAUUUCAUGAUUUCUUGAACAUUUUUUUUCAAAAUUCACAAUUGUUUUAAAUUUCAGAAUUUUUGAAAUCCUGAAUUAUUGAAGCAAGAAAAAAAUGAAAUGAAAUGAAAAAAGAACGACAUGGAAAAAAUAUUUGCCCCGUACGUUGGCCGUGCCAAAUGGGUGCUGAGGAGAAAUUUGGUGUGUUGUCCGAUUGUCCGAGGACGCACCCGGGGCGUGUCCGCGGGUGAUGGGGGACGAAAUUUGCUACCUGUGGGUUUUAGAUGCUCUAAGAGUUGCAAAUGAGCUCGAGCACCAAUGGCGCACGGUUCAUAGCUGCCUGACGGCGCAACCCCGAAAAUGCAACACUUUUUAGCAAUACGAGUUCUUUCAGUUUAAGCAAGAUUUGGUCAGCUGGUAUGGCAACCAAGCACUUGAAGAAAAAAGGAAUCCAUGGAGACCAGGCCGACCACUUCCGGCCGGCCGUACGUACCACUGUCCAGCACUUCGUCCUGCUUCCCUUGGAUGCACUGUGUGCCGGUGCGCUGUUCGAACAGUAGCAGAGGCCAAGCGACAUAGAAGGAAGGCCUGGGACAUGCUAGAUGACUGACGAUGAGUUCAUGGCCUGGGACGUACUCCUAGUGACGGCAAAUUUGACAAUUUUGACCUGUGGAUGUAAUAAAUUCCUGAAAUGAACUGCCCACAAAACUAAUUCACAUGGCUGACCUUUUUGAGUGGCGCCUGACAUGCUGGCGCCACACCUUACGGUGCAGCGCCUAGCUCUAGGGCGUUGCACCUCUGUCCACCGUGGCAGCCCCUGGGUCCGCACCCAGCAGUGCAGCGCCUCCGAGCUAGACGCCACACAUGUAAUGUGCAACGCCCUGCACUGUCUGUUACUAGUUGGCUGGCCCCCCUCCCCCACUCCCCCCGCACACACCCCAACCCCCAUAGCAUCCCACCUGAAAUUUGCCCCCUCUCCCCCUCUCUCCCCCUCUCAAAUCCUUCCCAAAAUCUUCCAAAUUUGAAGAUUUUGUCCAUGGAUUUCGAACUCAAACCCUCCCUCAAGGUAAUCUUCUCUAAUCCCCUUGUUUUGAUCCAAGUAAUGUUAACAAAUUGCUCAUUUGUUGCUAGUUUGGGGAAACCCUAGUUUUGUAUGGAUCUAGAGAUUUGCAUGGAGAUGUGAGAUGUUUGUUUGCCAAUUUCCUAUGAUUAGGCUUGUUAGUAUGUUAGGGUUAUUCUUAUGGGUGUUCUUAUGUUGGUGCUAGGGUUAGGGUUGUUGUUUCAUAUAUAUUUUAGGGUUUGCAUUCCGUGUUAAUCUUUGGAUUAAUACUCAUGGAAGCAAUGUUAGGUUGUGUUGUUUGAAUGCUUAUAGGGAUGUGAAGAACAUGUGUGUUUGUUCAUCAUGGGGACAAAGACGCCUUCUUAAAAGGCAAUAUUGAACCGGACCCGGAUGAGCUUGACAUGGUGUUUGAUAGUAGUCCUAGCUAUGCGGAGCUCUUGCAACAAGCGAGGAAAGAUUUGAAUUGGAUGGACCCUAGUGAUAUCGUUGAGUUGGAGGGAAGGCAUAAUGUUGGUUUCGGAAUGCACAUCUGUUGGAAGACAAUGCGUGUCAACUCGGAGCAAUGUUGAGUUGCAUACAAGGAGACGGUGGCCGAAUCACUAGACAAGGCUCUUGAGUUAUUUGCAACGAAGAAGGUUGACUCAAGUUUGCAUUUGGACCUGAACCGGAACCCCCCCCUUUGGUUGCUAGUAGCCCCCCACCCUUGAACCCAAGAAGUGAGGCCAACAUUGAGCACGUUUCCAAACAACCAAAAUGAAGCUUUGCAAGAGGAGCAUGAUGAGUAUGUGGACGAUGACAAUGAAGUUGAUCUCCAUGACAACAAUGUGGGUGAUCUCGACAAAUAUCAUUUGCAAGAGACAAUGGACCAUUCCAUCCCUUAUUCCCGUGGCUAUGCAUCGGAUUCGGAUGACGAAGGUCUCGAUGAACAAGUUGAUGAGGAGGGGUUCACGGUGAAGGAGGCCGAAGCUUUCGAGAAGGUAUUCGGUCGGGAUCAUCGGACUACAUUGUUCAAGGAUGUUAGUCUCGCGGAUGAAGCUGUGGUAGAUGGUGGCCAAGGUAUAUCUCUUGGGGUUAGGCCAAGCUCUCACCGUGAUUUGGAUGACGGCAAGAACGGGAUUGCUAAAGGGUCUAAGUUCGAAACCUUCUUGGAAUUGAAGAUGUGGCUCGACAACUACUCGGUUACGCAUUAUCGUCCACACAAGGUGGUGAACUCGGACGUCAAUGUGCGCUACAUGGUUGCAUGUGCAUGUGAAGAUGAAAUAUGUCCGUGGAUUGUGCGUGCACGACCAUGGAAAGGAGGUCCCACUUGGCACGUAGUGAGUUGUGUGCCAACUCACAUGUGCCGAGGCAAAAGGGUGGAUGGCAAGGUUGUGUCCCGAGACCACAGACAACUCACAUCCGAGUUCAUCCCUUACAGGCUCUCAAACUCAUUAUCCACACUUGCAACAAUGAGCAUCCAACAUGUCAUUGACCUUGUGAGAGCCAUCUUUCAUUACAAGGUGAAGUACGGCAAGGCAUGGAAGGGAAGCAAGCCGCAUUUAAGAUGUUGUAUGGUACUUGGGAGGAAUCAUACAACUGAAUCCCUAGGUUGUUGUUAGCCAUGGCCACCACAAACCCGGGCAUGGCUCAUGUGGUCGAGCCUCAUGGGGAAAAACAACGGUUCAUGAAGGAAGGAAAGUCCGAGUAUUUGGCCGUGCAUUUUGGGCGUUUGAGCAAUGCGCGAGGGCUUUCGAACACUGUAGGCCGGUCAUCGCCAUUGAUGGCACGUUAUUGACCGGACAAUACAAGGGAACCUUGUUGGUUGCAAUAACAAGUGAUGCCAAUAACCGGGUGUUGCCAUUGGCAUUUGCUUUGGUUGAGGUGGAGAACAAUGACAACUGGGAGUGGUUUUUGCAUCUUUUGAGGACGAAGUUGUUGCCCGCUCAGAGGGAAAUUUGUGUCAUAUCGGAUCGGCAUCAAGGAAUUCUUAACACGGUGGAGAUUGACAUUCCCGGGCAUGCUCCAUUGCACCAUCGAUGGUGCAUGAGGCACUUUUGUUCGAACUUCCAUAGGGCAUGUGGCCUUAAGGAGUUGGCCGAUGAUCUUCAAGAUUAUUGUCUCGCUUUCUCCGACAAGCGGUUCGUCACUUUGUACAACAAAUUGCUCGCACACAAAAAACUUGAUCCUGGGGGUCAAGACUUUCUCAAUAGGCACAUCGAAUACCGGAACAAGUGGGCACGUGCUUUUGAUGAAGAUGGCUGGAGAUAUGGUCAAAUGACAAGCAAUAUGGCCGAAUGCUUCAAUAAGGUGCUCAAAGGUGCACGUGAAUUACCCGUGACGGCAAUAGUUCAAUACACAUUUGACAAGAUGAAUGCGUACUUUCUAAAGUACUCGACGGAAACGGAUGCACAGAUAGCGGGUGAGAACAAGCGCAAGUACAAGUACAAGUUCCCACCCAAGGUUGAUGAAUGGUUGGAAUUUCAACACGGAAGGCAGACUCACACUAUACUAUAUGACAACGAAGAGUGGAAGUAUGAAGUGAAAGAGCCAGGAGGAACCAGAAACGAUGGCCGCCAACAUCGAGGUCGGGCUUUCAAGGUGUCGUUAACACGUUGUGACUGCUCUUGCGAGAGGCCAUUGCUGCUUCAUCUCCCAUGCUCACGCUUGUAUACCGCUGGUCGCGUUAGGAAUGUGGACGUCAAUCACCCCCUCACCGUGAGGGAGUCGGAGUUCUCAAUCAUGAUGGUCAAGAAAACAUGGGCUCCCUGCUUUCACCCAUACUUUGACCAAUCACAAUGGCCAGAGUACCAUGGAGUUCAACUAUGGCCGGAUCCGGAGUUGAAGGUGUUAAACGGGGUAGACGUAAGACAAAGCAUCUUAGGGGCGACAUGGACGGAUGGGGCCAUGGUGGCCGCCGCGGAGAGGGCAACGACCAAUUCCAAGAGCCUCGUGAGAGCUCCCGUUGUGGGGAAUGAAAAGGUCAUGGCCACAACAAAAGAAAAUGUACGAAACCAAGGAAAACGUCCAAGAAAAUUGAUGCAAGCACAAGCCAACAAGGAUCUACACAAGGGAGCCAACCAAGUGGUAGCCAACAAGUGCCAAGCCAACCAAGUGGUAGCCAACAAGUGAAAGGCAACAAAGUGGUAGCCAGCAAGUGCCAAGCCAACCAAGUGGUAGCCAACAAGUGCCAAGCCAACCAAGUGGUAGCCAACCAAGUGGUAGCCAAAAAGGAUCUAGGCAAAAAAGAGGGAGGCAACUAGGACUUACAAGAGGCCGUGGUGGUGGUAGAGCUCGUGGUGGUGGUCUAGGCCGUGGUGGUGGUAGAGCUCGUGGUGGUGGUGUUGGCCGUGGUGAUGGUCUUGGCCUUGGUGAUGGUCUUGGCCUUGGUGCUGGACUUGGCCGUGGUGGUGGUCAAGGGCAAGGUCGUUAUAGAGGAAUGUUUGGAUACCUCGAUGGACCAUUUCCGUAUGUUGCUCACUAACUAUAAUGUUUCAUAUGUUCUUGUUGUCCUUAUUCACUAAUAUGUUGCAAUGUACAUGUUCUUCCAUUUGUUCUUAUUGUCAUUACUAACUACUAUGUUUCACUCAUUGUAGGUAUGGCGGCUUCUCAACCCAACAAACCAACAAUGAAGGAGGAUGGCGAAGAUGAGAUGGCGGGAUGGUGGGAGAAGGCUGUGAAGAAGCUGAGAGAGGAGGAUGCAGCCGCACUAAAGAAGAAGAAGAAGGAAGAGGAGCUCGAAGAGAAGAGGAAGGAAAGAGAGAGAGUAGAUUAUGAGUGUUGCGCUAGGGAGCAUGCGUUGAAGAGAAAAUGUGAGGAGGCACAGAAGAAGCGUCUCAAGGAUUUUCAAGAAAGAACCUUGAAACUUUGGGCAUUCGAAGUAGAAAAAAAAGAGAACAAGAUAUUCAUGGAGAGGGUGGUUAAGGAGGUUCACUGCAUAAGGAAAAGGAAGGAGGAAGAGGAAGAAUAAGAAAGAAAAGGGGCCUUGCUCUACACAAUAGAGCUAUAUCAUCUUCAACUUGCUUGUGGACUAUGUGUCAUGAAGUACUAUGUAUUUCUUCCUCUAUUUGGUUGUAUGAACUACUCCUCAAGUUGAAGUACUAUGUGUUAUAAACUACUAUGUGUCGUGAAGUACUUUGUGCAUAUGUUGUCUUCACAGUUGUCUGCUUGCCAUCUAUCAAUCCUAAUGCACAUCAUCAUACUAUGUGUGCAUAUGCUAUCUUCACACUUCUAUGUUUGCCAAAAAAUCGCUAAGUGUUGGUGUGGCGCCUAGCCUGGAGGUGCCACACUGUACCGUGCAACGCCUAGCUCGGAUCACCAGAGAGACCGAGCGCCUGAGGGUAGAAGAGCUUCAUCUUAAUUUUUGCCAGAACGAAUCUUCUACGGUGUACCAUCGAAGGCAUCAGAGCCGGUUUCCGGCGGCGAUCGAGCCGACCCGGCUGUUUGAGAUGUCGCGUGACCCGCAUGAGCCGGCAGACCAGGGGAAUGGAGCCGGCUUGCCAGGGGAAGCCCCUGUCAUACCCAGUUGACCCCGAACAUACCUCUAAAUACGGCCUCGCCACAGCCGCAGUUAUGCCAGAUGCCUCAGGAAUCUCAGCCGGCUCAACCGACAUUGGCGGCUCAACAUCAACCCCGCUGUUUCCAAGCGCCAGGUGGUCAUUAUUCCAACCCGGUUGAUAAUGUGCUGGCGGUGACUCACAAUCUUACUGCGAUUCCGAUUACUGGGAAUAACCCGAUUGAGAUCGAGGCUAGGAAUGCCAUCUAGAUGCUGAAAACUACGGUUACCCAGUAGGCGAACUAUUCUCACAGUCAGCAUCGGCUUCAUUCCACCCCACACCAGAGUCAUAGCAGGAGGGGACACGCCGAGUCCUCGACAGUUUCUAGUAGUGUACGCCGGCAGCGGGAGCGGCAGCAGCACUCGAACCUGCCAUGACCGGCAGUCACAGAUGCGCAGGCGAUUGUCGAUGCUGCUCGUGCUAUGCGAGAAGCGGGAGUAGGAAACACAGGAGUUGCACACACUCAACCCCCACCCACCGCAGCCCAGCCAACCUCAUGGAGUAUCGAUCUAACUAGCAGGACUAUUGGGACAUCGUGCUUAGUGCCUGCCUUGAGCAAUGAGCACGUGCCGCCUGAUUUCAAGGGUCCUCGCAAGGUCCCUAACUACACAGCUGAUUUAGAGCCAGCUGAGUGGAUUCAAAGUUAUGAGUUAGCCAUGGAUAUGUUGGACGCUAGUAAUGCAGAUUGUGCUAAAUAUCUGACCAUGAUGUUGGAAGGGCCAGCGCGCACAUGGUUGAAAAACUUGCGCCAACUCAAUCAACACUUGGGAAGAACUGAAAGAGCGCUUCAUCAAGAAUUUCCAAGGAACCUACAAACUGCCAACUAUGAUUGUUGAUCUCGAGCAUUGUAUUCAGCGUAACGACGAGUUUUCACAUCACUGGUACAUCUUGCUGCAGAGAUUAUCCAUUCUUCAGAUAGCCGUUCAAGCCAUUCUCUUCUUGGAAAGAAAUUUUCAUUUCCAACCUUUCGUCCAGAAGCUUGUAUGUCUCAAAGGGAAGGUUAAAUACAUGGGUGAUCUCAUGGACAUUCUUACCAGAUAUGUUGAGCAGAUAAUACGAAGGAUCCAACUUCAGAUGACGAGAAGUCUGGCAAGGGCAAGAAAACGGUGGCAGUAAGGAUCACCAGCGAAAUAGUCAUGUGCACAAUAGCAAUGAUGGCAAUCAGGGUAACAAUGGCAACAAUAAAAAGCACAGGAGCAGUGAAGGAGGAUCAAUCUUUGUUGCUAAUACAAAUACUGGUUUCAAGAACCGGAGAGGGGGUAAUAAUUUGGGUCGUCCUUAUAACGGGAAUCGACCUCGUAACUACGAGGAAGCCCUCAAAUGGGCCAUGUCCCAAACACAGUUUUGAUGGCAAGCCAGCAAAUCACUCUUGGGAAAACUGCUUCAUUAUGUAGGAGUUUAGAAACAAAGUUUUUCAGAACCAUCAUGGUAGCGGCAAUGGGGGACAUCUAGGAAAUUCUAGGGCCGACGGGUCCGGAGCCGGCCUUUAGGGUGCCGGCUCACAAGGGACUUUCCCCAGUGCACGCUUCUAGGGGUCUGGCGCCCAGGGUUUGGUUUUCAGGGGCCUGGUAUUGGCGGCGGCAAUAAUCAGCGAUCUGGCCAGGGAAAUCAGAACCAGGGAAGUUAGUCCGGGUACCAAAGCAAUCCAAAGCAGUUAAACAGCGAACAGUAUCACGUUUUCACGACCAGCACCUACAAGCAUGACCGGAAACUCCAGAAACGGGUCAUGAACAUGGUUGAGCCGGCAGUUCUGGAGUACUUGAACUGGUCAGAGCAGCCUGUGAUUUGGAGUCGUGAGGAUUAUCCUCCCCGGGUUGAUAAUCCAGGUUGCCUUGCUCUGGUGGUAGCACCUCAAGUUAGUGGGUAUAAGCUCACUAAGGUACUCAUGGAUGAUAGGAGUAGCAUCAACAUCCUCUAUUAUGAUACUUUCAAGCGAAUGAACCUGUCAGAGAAGCAGCUUAAACCAUCAUCUAUGGUGUUUCAUGGGAUUGUUCCCGGGAAGUCGGCAUAUCAUAUUGGGAAAAUCUCCCCAGAAGUGGUCUUUGGCACUGAAUUUAACUUCAGAUCUAAGUUUCUGACGUUUGAGGUGGUCAAAAUCAGAAGUCCUUAUUGCGCUCUGUCUGGACGACCAACUUAUGCUCGGUUCAUGGCACGACCUUGUUAUUUCUAUUUGAGGCUCAAAAUGCCGGGCCCUGAAGGGACUAUCACAGUUGAUGGUGACAAGAAAAUUUCCCUGGAGUGUGAGGAAGGAGAUGUAGUUUACACUGAGUCAGCUUGUGCAAGUGAGGAGUUGAAAUUUUACAAGAAUAACAUUGACUGAGCUGAUAUGACUUCUCUGAAAAAGUGAACUACUAAGUCUGACCCCUACUCAAAUUCAAGUGGGCUGAUGAUACUAAGCAAGUGGAUUUCACCCCUGGCGACUCAUCUCAUUAGUUCACCAUUGGGGCUAAUAUGGAUCCCAAAUAGGAAAGCACGCUCAACGAGUUCUGACAUGCCUGGUGUACCGAGAGAACUCGUUGAGCACUGCCUAAAUGUGGAUCCUAAGAUGAAGCCUGUCCGAUAAUACCUCCGUUGUUUUAACGAAGAGAGACGUAAAGCCAUUGGCGAUGAGGUAGCCCAGCUCCUAGCUGCCGGUUUCAUCAUCAAAGUUUUUCAUCCUGAGUGGUUGGCUAACCUAGUGCUUGCUCUAAAGAAGAACGAAACUUGGCGGAUGUGCGUUGAUUACACAGACCUGAACAAGGCCUGCCCUAAGGAUACAUUCGCUCUUCCUUGCAUUGAUCAAAUCAUUGACUCUACUGCUUGCUGUGAGUGUUUGUGUUUCCUGGAUGCUUAUUUUGGAUAUCAUCAUGUCAAGAUGGUGGAGAAAGAUCUGGAGAAAACAACUUUUAUCACACCUUUUGGAGCUUUUUGCUAUACAUCUAUGCCAUUUGGGCUGAAAAGCGCAGGUCCAACUUACUAGCGUUGUGUCCAGAAUUGUUUUCACAAGAAAAUUGGUUGUAACAUUCAUGCUUAUUUUGACGACAUCGUGGUCAAGUCUUGGAAGAAGGAAACAUUGCUGGACGACCUCAAGGAGACGUUUGAUAAUCUUCAAAUUUACGAGAUGAAGCUCAACUCAGCAAAAAUGUGUAUUUGGUGUUCCUGCAGGGAAACUGAUGGGUUUUCUAGUGUCCGAGCGUGGUACUGAGGCCAACCCAGAAAAAAUCAAAGCUAUCACAAUGUUAGCCAAGCCGACCAACAUCAAGGCCGUCCAGAAAUUGAUAGGUCGUGUGGAAACUGUGAGCCGGUUUAUAAGUCGGCUUGGUGAGAAGGCUAUCCCUCUUUAUCAACUUCUUAAAAAAUCAGACAAUUUCACUUGGGGCAAUGUUGCUGAUAAAGCCUUUGAGUCCCUCAAGAAGCAGUUGUCUGAGCCACCUAUAAUUGCUGCUCCUCAGGAGAAGGGGUCGAUGCUCUUGUACAUUGCAGCCAAUAAUAAAGUAGUAAGUGUGGCAGUCGUCGCGGAACGUAAGGAAGAAGGGAAAGAAUAUCCAGUUCAAAGGCUGGUCUACUAUGUCAGUGAAGUCCUGAUCGAGUCCAAACAGCAGUAUCCACAUUGGCAAAAACUGUUUUUGGGUGUUUUCAUGGCUGGUCGCAAGUUAAAGCACUAUUUAGAGGAGCAUCCCAUCACAGUGGUCAGCUCAGCUCCUUUGGGAGAUAUUAUCCAGAAAAGAGAAGCCACAGGCCGGGUUGCCAAGUGGGCCAUUGAGCUCGGCCCAUAUCACCUGAAGUAUGUGUCGAGAACGGCUAUCACGUCUCAAACUUUGCUGGAUUUCAUCAACGACUAGACUGAGUUACAAGCUGCAGAAGAGAAGCCUAAUAAUACAUACUGAACGAUACACUUUGAUGGCUCCAGGCAAUUGGAAGGCUCGGGGGUUGGAGUAGUUUUAACUUCUCCGCGAGGUGAUAGAUUUUGUUAAGUUUUGAGACUCAUGUUUCCUUGCACUAACAAUGCAGCUGAAUAUAAGGCUUUUGCUUCAUGGGCUUCGUAUGGCUAAGGAGAUGAAUCUCAGUCGGGUGGGCGACUCAGACUUGGUGGCUCAACAGGUUUCAGGGAUUUGGGAUUCCAAAGACCACCUUAUGGCGGCUCACAGACAUGCUGUUACUAUUAUUGGUGGCCACUUCACCAGUUACCAGGUUAAUCAUAUUGAUCGAUGAUAGAAUGAAGCAACAGUUGCCUUGUCUCGCUUGGCCUCUCGGCGCAAAGCCUAUUCCACCCAAUGUUUUCCUUGAUGUUUUGCAUAACCCCUUUGUAAAGUUACCAACGGAGGAAGACCUUGCUAUUCCUAACCUAGAAUCAGAGCUGGAGGUUGUAGUUCAUGCCACCCUAGAGUGGACAGUUCCUUACUUGGCUUAUCUUGUUGGGAAUCGUUGCAUGGAAAACAAAAAAAAUUCUACGCACACGUAAUAAUCUAUCCAUGGAGAUGCAUAGCAACGAGGGGGAGAGUAUGUCUACGUACCCUCCUAGACCAUAAGCGGAAGCGUUUGACAACGCGGUUGAUGUAGUCGAACUUCUUCACGCUCCAACCGAUCAAGUACCGAACGAGCGGCACCUCCGCGUUCUGCAUGCGUUUAGCUCGGGGACGUCCUCCGCCUUCUUGAUCCAGCAAGAUGGCGAGGUAGUAGAUGAGUUCUGACAGCACGACGACAUGGUGACGGUGAUGGUGAUGUGAUCUCCGCAGGGCUUCGCCUAAGCACUAUGAAAAUAUGACCGUGGGAGUAAACGGUGGACGGGGGCACCGCACACGGCUAAGACAAUGUUGUGUCCUUGUGUGGCGCCCCCUCCCCACAUAUAUAUAGGUGGGAGGGGAGAGGAUGCAGCCUAGGGCAGCCAGGGUGCGCCCCAAGGGGCUGGCUGCCGUCCCUAGGGCUCCUGCCCUCCUGCGCCCCCCCCCCUUUUCCUUUUAUGAAGAAGGGGGAAGGAAAGAGGAGGAGAGGGAAGGAAGGGGGAGUCCUAAUCCACACUUUCCUUCCCCUCCCCUCUUUCCUUAUCCUCCUCAUAGGGCCGGCCUCUAUAGGGGCGCACCAGCCCCUUAUGGGCUGGUGUGUUCCCUCUCUUGGCCCAUAAGGCCCAUAGCUUUGCCCGGGGUGCCCGAAACUGCUUUCCGGUGACCCGAUAAGUACCCGGUACCCUCCGAAACACUUCCAGUGUCCGAAUACCGCCGUCCUAUAUAUCAAUAUUUACCUCUCGACCAUUUAGAGACUCCUCAUCAUGUCUGUGAUCUCAUCCGGGACUCCGAGCAACAUUCGGUCACCAAAUCAUAUAACUCAUAUAAUACUAUAUCGUCAACGAACGUUAAGCGCGCGGACCCUACGAGUUCGAGAACUAUGUAGACAUGACCGAGACACCUCUCCGGUUAAGAACCAAUAGCGGAACCUAGAUGCCCAUUUUGGCUCCUGCAUAUUCUAUGAAGAUCUUUGUCGGUCGAAUCGUUAUAACAACAUACGCAAUUCCCUUUGUCCAUCGGUAUGUUACUUGCCCGAGAUUCGAUCGUCGGUAUCUUAAUACUUAGUUCAAUAUCGUUACCGGCAAGUCUCUUUACUCGUUUCGUAAUACAUCACCUCGUGACUAACUCCUUAGUCGUUUGCUCGCAAGCUAAUGAUGUGUAUUACCGAGAGGGCCCAGAGAUACCUCUCCGAUUCUCGGAGCGACAAAUCCUAGUCUCUAUCUAUGCCAACUCAACAAACACCUUCGGAGAGACCUGUAGAGCAUCUUUAUGAUCACCCAGUAUCAUAGGGGGAAGGAAAGAGAGGGGGAGGGAAGGAAAGUGGGAGGCCGAAUCCUCCCCUUUCCUUCUCCCUUCCCUCCUUUCCUUCUCCUCCAAUUUUGGCCUAUAUGGAGGUGCACCAGACCCUUGUGGGCUGGUCCGUCCCUCUCUUGGCCCAAUAAGGCCCAUAUCUUUGCCGGGGGUGCCCGGAACCCCUUCCGGUGACCCGAUAUGUACCCGGUACCCUCCGGAACAUUUUCGGUGUCCGUAUACUAUCGUCCUAUAUAUCAAUCUUUACCUCUCCACCAUUUCGAGACUCCUCAUCAUGUUUGUGAUUUCAUCCGGGACUCCGAACAACAUUCGGUCACCAAAUCACAUAACUCAUAUAAUACAAAAUCGUCAUCGAACGUUAAGUGUGCGGACCCUACAGGUUCGAGAACUAUGUAGACAUGACCGAGACACCUCUCCGGUCAAUAACCAACAGCGAACCUGGAUGCUCAUAUUGGUUCCUACAUAUUCUAUGAAGAUCUCUAUCAGUCGUACCGUAAUGACAACAUACGUUAUUCCCUUUAUCAUCGGUAUGUUACUUGCCCGACAACAUACCUAGUUCAAUCUUGUUACGGCAAGUCUCUUUACUCGUUCCGUAAUGCAUCAUCCUGCAACUAACUCAUUAGUCACAUUGCUUGCAAGGCUUCUUAUGAUGUGCAUUACCGAGAGGACCCAGAGUUACCUCUCCGAUACUCAGAGUGACAAAUCCUAAUCUCAAUCUAUACCAACCCAACAAACACCUUCGGAGAUACCUGUGGAGCAUCUUUAUAAUCACCCAGUUACGUCUUGAUGUUUGAUAUCACACAAGGCAUUCCUCCGGUAUCCGGGAGUUGCAUAAUCUCAUAGUCGAAGGAAUAUGUAUUGGACAUGAAGAAAGCAAUAGCAAUAAAACUCAACGAUCAUUAUGCUAAGCUAACGGAUGGGUCUUGUCCAUCACAUAAUGAUGUGAUCCCAUUAUCAAAUGACAACACAUGUCUAUGGUUAGGUAACCUUAACCAUCUUUGAUCAACGAGCUAGUAUAGUAGAGGCUUAUUCGGGACACGGUAUUUGUUUAUGUAUUCACACAUGUAUUUAGGUUUUCGAUCAAUACAAUUCUAGCAUGAAUUAUAAACCUUUAUCACGAAUAAGGAAAUAUAAAAUAACAACUUUAUUAUUGCCUCUAGGGCAUAUUUCCUUCAUAUCAUACCCGUGGCAAGCUCCCAGAAGAGGAAAUCAUCGAUCGACAGAUUAUUAGGAGGUCUAAGUCCAUGACUAUAGUCAAUGGCGACUUACACACGAGAAGUAUUACAUGCGUUUUCCAGUGUUGUGCUUUUCCUAAGGAAGGCCACGAGAUUCUCAAUGCGAUUCAUUCCGGUAAUUGUGGUCAUCAUGCCGGCUCAAGGUCUCUAGUCGCGAAGGCUUUUCGACAUUGUUUUUAUUCGCUCGCAGCUCAUGCACUUGUAGAGGAUAUUGUUCGCAGAUGCAAUGGAUGUCGGAAAUUUGCAUGUCAGGCUCAUGUUUCGGCUCAAGAGCUUCAGAUGAUCCCAUUUAUUUGGUUGUUUACAGUCUGGGGGCUUGACAUGGUUGGUCCUUUUAAAUCAUCAAACGAUAAGAAGACUCACCUUUUGGUUGCUAUUGAUAAUUCACCAAGUGGGUCGAAGCGGAACCAAUGCUCAAUUGUGAUGCAGCAACGACAGUUAAAUUCCUGAAGAAGUUGAUCUUUUGUUUUCAUUAUGUGCAUAACAUCAUCACAGACAAUGGAUCUAACCUGUCCAAAGGAGCUAUGAAACAGUUCUGCCAGAAAGAGCGCAUCGGCCUUGAUCUGGCUUCAAUAGCACAUCCGUAGUCCAAUGGUCAAGCAGAAUGUGCUAAUUAAGAAUUAUUGCGUGGGAUUAAGCCAAGACUUAUGGUUCCUCUUGAGCGCACUCCUGGAUGCUGAAUUGAGGAGCUUCCCGCCAUCCUUCGGAGCAUACAGACUACUCCCAAUAGGUCAACACGCUACACGCUGUGUUUUCUAGUCUAUGGUGCAGAAAUCGUAUUGCCAAGUGAUAUCCAUCAUGACUCCCCCAGAGUUGUAGCAUAUGUAGAGGCAGAUAAUGAACAAACUCGUCAAGACUCUCUGGAUGCCUUGGAGGAAGAACACGAUCUUACAACAACAUGAUCAGUGAUAUACCAGCAAGACCUACGUCGCUAUCGCAGCCGUAGAGUCCAAAGCCGUACCUUCUAGGAGGGUGACUUAGUGCUCCGUCUGAUACAAGAACAGACAGAUAUGCAUAACCUUUCACCUCCUUAGGAAGGGCCUUCAUCAUCAGCAAGAACCUAAACAAUGGUUCAUACUAUCUCGUUGAUAUGUGUGAGCGAAAUAAGUCACGUACUUCUGAAGAGGAGAGCAGCAGGCCCUGGAAUAUUGCACAUCUCCGGCCUUAUUAUACUUAAACGCCAUUAGCUUCAGUCCUUUGUACAUACUUUUAUCAUGUAUAUACAUAUUUAAUGAUCAAUGAAAUAGAGCCUGUCUCUAGAACCCGGAGUUUGUCAUUUCAUCUCAAAAAUUGUGUAUUGAGCCAUUAUUCUUUGAUCGUUGUUCACUUGGGGGAUUCCAACUCAUCUUGUUUAGCUACUAACAUCCCUCUUGACCCGGCAUACGCCACUAUAAAUAAUUGGUUAAACCUGCCUCUUAGCUUGAUGCUACUCCGAAAAGGUGACCUGGUUGUACUCUUGACAAGUCAAUCACACUGAUGGCUAUCAUGGACUGUGUUGACCCUGAACUUCUCAAAGUUAAAACACCGGUUUAAGUCACAUGAGAGCCGGCUUUUCGAAAACUAGGAUAAACCAAAAGAGGCUACAAGGCUUGCUUCACAGAAGCAAAUCUCAGACUCGAGCCUCGAAAGUCAGUCUUUUAUGUCGUGCCUCGAAAGCAGGCUCUUUUACUUUCAGUUCUUUUUUAUAUCAUGUUAUAUGUUAUUCAUUCUAUAUACAUAUGGAUCUAUGCAUAUUCUUUUGCAGUAAAGGUUUUCAUAAAUAAAAUCUCGGGUCACAAACCUGACCGGGUCAUGGGAAAUUGAACUUGUGCUUUGUCUAAAGAACUGUGACACUUAACAAUUUCUGUACAUAUAUUUUGCCGGGUUGCACCGCAACCACGACCAAAGACUCACUCAAAACAUAAAGUGCAUACCACCGGGUUGAGCAACAACUGUGAUUGACAUAUAUUUCAAAAGAUUGCCAUUGGCUCAACGGUGAAGUAUUCAAUGCACGAUGGCAUUGCAACAACAUGGGAGUUUUUCUCACACCCAAAAAUUACAAAGCCACAUCCAGGCUAUUUUCACCAUGUUUUUCAACGCAACCAUCACAAUUGAAGAAGCUCACUAUUGUAAGCCGAUGGUGGAGCCCUCCGGGUUGACGUUGACUUGAUCUCCCUCUGCACUAGUUGAAGCCGAGUCAGCAUGUGUCGACUCUUCCGGCAUUUCAGGGGCCGCCUGUUCUGCUCCUUAAGUCUGGGGGUCAUCUGCCACCCACUGAAUUGAAGACAGAGCUUCAAACACCAUGUCUUCCUUGAUCAAAGUCGGAGUGCCGACGUCGGAUGCAAAAGAUUACUUACAUGGAGGAAUCAGCUCGACGGGUUAUGGCUUGGGCAGAUCUCUGCGUUUCUCGGCUUUAGAAUAGCCGGCUUGAAAUUUGGUUAGAUCCAAUGUUUCUGCAAUCGUCGUUGCUGACUCGGGUCUCCUUCACACAGCAUAGAUAGUCCUUUUCAGUAAAAAGUGAGUUAUCUACGUUGAAUUAUGGGAACCCAUCAGCUAGAAGAGUCGGUUCCAUCUCCGGGUGAUAAGCCUUCGCACGCGCCAGUGAGCACAUAGCCCCUUGUCGGCAAGCCUCCUUCUUCAACUCCUGGAUCCAUUCUGGAACAGUGGAUAAUUCCCUGAUCAUAUCCAUAAUGUGGCGAGGUGGCUCCUUGGUGUUGUUGAUUGACAUUACACACUUAGCACCACCCACAUAUAGCUGUUCCAGAAAUUUAUAAACGGCCUUCAGCUUCACAGGAGGGAGUUCCAACACAUUAUGAUGUUUUUUGCCUGUUGACACAACAAUACAAAUAAGAAACCCGGUUCAGAUAUCAACCUGGAACUAUUUGGCGACUUACAGUUGUGAAGAAAGUUAUCCUUACCAAAGAUGGAUAUGCACAUGUCAGUAAUGUGACCCUUAAGUCUCUGCAGUUCUUGGGUCACCGGCUGGAGUUUCAACUCGGCCUCCUCUGUGCGUUUCAAUAAGGCGGCCUUUUUCUUGCUCAAAGUCAGCCUUGGUUUUUCUAUGUGUCUGUGACAGAAGAACGGACCUUUGGAAAUCUGAAGACAAGCUUUCUGCCUCUUCUCGAAGCUUCAUUUCUUCCUGGUCUUUCUAUAAGCCGGCCUCCCGUGACUCGGUUUUGUUCGGCAUAUCCUGCACAUACAGACUAACAAAAGCAGGCACGUUAUUGGCAGUUCCAAGUCCCCGCAGGCGCAGGACCCUGGCCUUGGGGGCUACACUAUUCAAGUUUUGAAUCCUAUGACGAAAAAAGUCCCGAGCCGCCAGCGGCGAUCGGCCCGGCACUUGGGGGCUACAUUAUUCAAAUUUAUGAAGUCCCGAGCCGUCGCUGGCGUUCAACACGGUACUUCGGUGCUACAUCAGUCAAAUCUGGCCUCUUUUGUCAAGUACCAUGUAGCUACAAGUACUCAACAUGGCACUUGGGGGAUAGUGCAUUCUCAUUUUUGAAUAAGCAUACCUUUGAAGACCCGGCUCAUCAUAUGUUGCUAAGCCGGGCCUUGGGGGCUACCUAUUGCUCCUAUUACAUUUAACAAGUUUUGUUUUACAAAGAACCAGCUCAUUAUUACCUAAUAACCCGACCCUUGGGGGCUACAUGUGAGUACAACCUAAGUGAUGAUUUCCAAAACAGGUCAAGGGUACCAACCCAGAUUUUAUUCAGAGCUUUUACCCAAGCAAGUAUUAAGCAUAUCACUACUUUCUCUACUUAAGACUUGGAGGCUACACAUAUAUACAUACAUGGAUGAAGGAAGCAACAAGACAUACCUCAUACUUUCUCUUCAACGUGUUGGCCAUAGCAAUUUCAGUAUCUUGGCUCUCAGAUAGCCGGGUCAAGAAUCCAUGAUGCAGAGAGGUCACAUCAAAAUUUUCAAGUGAUUGAAGACUAGCUUUUCCCUUCUCCUUACUUGGCAAAUAAUUCUUUGAUAUGAUUUUAGCCAAGGUCAUUGAAGUUUCAGGAGCUGGGUCGCAGUGUUCACUAGUAACAACCAUGUUAUCCCGGGCCUUGGUUUCCGGAUCAACACCGGCUGAGUUAUCCUUCGAAUCUUCUUUAUUUUCCUCCACAAUAGGAGGUGUGGAAGCGCGGACAGGGCUUGCCGGGUUGUCCUGGUGAGACAGCUCUUCUUCACUAGCCGGGUUGACCUGAAUCUCCAGGUUGCCUGUUGCAACGUCAUGAGAAGGGAUUUCCUCCUCAGUUCCUGUCAUGGCAGCAGAGGACUCGCCAGUUUUGUUUUUGACAAAAACCUUAGCCCUUAAUUUAUAUAAAAGCGGGUCCGCAAAGUAGGAAAUGAGAUGUUAAAUAGCAUAAUUUUCUUGAUUACUUACCCACGAUUGAUAUUAAAAGGCGACACUUGGUUGGAGCAAGAUUCAUCAGAAGACAGUGAAGUCGUAUGGUAAUCCGGGUCAGAAUGACUCAACGGUAUCUUGAUUUGACCCGCCCUCGGGCAAGAUGUCACCGGGUUGGGAUUCUCUUGAGUCCUAACAUGGUGCGGAGAAGGCUGGUAUGAUAGACCAUCUAACAACUCGCCAGAACUGGCCCGGGUCUUCCUUUUCAAGCCGGCCUCGUGUUGCGUUUUCUUCAAAGAUAAGUGUAUAUCUAAGUAAGCUUUUGGGUGCGAAAAUGGUACCUUACGGACUGCAUUCCGGGUUCUUCUUUGCCCAAGUGUUUCCAAGUCAGAAGAAGAGAGGUUUACCUCAGUCUCCUUGGCUCGACUGGUCCCAGUAUUUUCCUGUGACGUGGUGGCGUUAGCAAGUUCAUUAAAGAGGCGGCCAAGAGAGUCAAGAUCUUCUAGCUCAAUUUCCUCUUCUUCUUCCGGUUCUUCAUCCCAAGGUGGACUAGGAUUUUGAGGUCCAGUUUUCCACCACUCAGAAUUCUCAUGCACGAAGCAACAAGCUGACAUAUUAAGCAGAGCGAAAAAGCAAAUUUAUAUAAAACAAUAUGAAUGAAAAAUCAAAAGGCGACUUACUGGAUGUGCCAGGUUGCGUGCAAAGAAGAGGGCCAAGCCUACAAGGCCGAUUUUGCCUCGGCUCUCGCAUAGAAGCUUCUUGGUGGAUUUUAUGAGCUCAGAUGUUGUCAAGUCAACCUGGCCGAAGCGCAGAGGGUCUUUCAACUCAUCGAUAUAUUCAUGCAUAAGACAGCCCCUUAGGCUAAGGGGUUGGAUUCACCAGUUCAUCCAACACCUGGUCAAGUCGACUCCAGUGAGGCCGUGAGCUAUUAAAGCAUUUAUUUUAAGUAUAAGGGUUCCAAUGUCUCCCUUUCUAGUUUGGAGGCGAAACCUGGAAAGAUCGUCGAAGCGUCAAGCCGGUCUAGUCUAUAACCCGACAAAGGAUGAUGCCGUGCUGGUGAAGUAUCCUUGCAAUAAAACCGGGCAUGUGCCAUCCUUUCGAGUGGCUCGCCAGUGAUACGUUGGGAAAGGUCGAGCUUUUCCUUCUUUGGAUGGUUGCUCCUCCAAGUUCUAUGCUCGGUCCUCCCUUGUGCUCUGUUUGAUGGUUGAGAUAGAAAAAAUGUUGGAAGAAACUAACAAACGGCUCAAUCUGGAGAUAUACUUCACAGAACACUUGAAAUUGGCUUAAAUUCAAAACUGAGUUGGGUCCAAGAUCUUGAGGCCUGAUGUUGAAGUGAUGAAGUACAUUGCGGAAGAACUUUGAACCCGGAGGAGAAAAGCCCUUGUCUAGGUGGUCGGCGAAUAUGACGACCUCAUUCUCACCAGGUAGUGGAUGGAUCUCCUCAUCGGGUGCGCGCCAUUCUAUUUCGGCUUGGGAUGGGAGCAACCCGGUGUUCACCAAGUUGUCCAGCAUAAGUGGGGACAUGCUGGAUUUAGCCCAGUUGACAGCUUUGUUGGUCUUGGGAGCCAUGAGUUCAGUUGCAAAUAAAGCUCAACUACAAGGUAUGAAAAACAAGUAUAAGCCGGCUAUGAUAUAUGGAGCAAGCAUCAAGGGAUGAGUAAGAGCUCUUCAGAGGUAUAAGACGAUAAAAUAACCUUGAUGUCCGUGAGAUGGCAGUUGCAAAUCAAAUUACGAGCGGCUAUGAACGCCCGAGUAGCGAUUAUUAAAUGAGCAAAGGUCUAAGGAAUAUGAAGAAACUUCUAUGGAUUACUACGAUUUGAGAGCUGACAAUGGUGUAAAUGGACAAAAAAUACCAGUGUAAUUCACAAUUUGACAAGUGGUGAAGCCAAGUCCAGGUCAAAGCAAUCGAAAACAGAAAAUGUUCAGAUUUGGUUACAACUAUAGAUCUGGAAAAUAUUUGAAAAAGAAAAGAAAAACCUAGGUAUGGUGGAGCUGCUAGGUGAAGAAACGGCAAUGGAGUCCACUUGGUGCAACAAGAGGGAUCUAAAACGUGAUCAAUUUAGUAGCGGAGGCAGUCAGAUAUCCCACAAGCAAU
RNAcentral lists this long non-coding RNA (21336 nucleotides) under Triticum aestivum (bread wheat). RNAcentral's name for it is "long non-coding RNA (TAES_LNC004571)". The record is from RNAcentral. Lineage: Eukaryota; Viridiplantae; Streptophyta; Magnoliopsida; Poales; Poaceae.